AACCUAGCACACCUGCGGUGUGUACCUGCGGAAGGAUCAUUACCGAGUCUUCGUACUCAAAACAACCCUUCUGUGGACCUGAAUAAAACCGUUGCCUCGGCAGGCGGCCCUACCUACGGGCCAGAUAGUUCGGCUGCCUCCAGGGAGGAAACCCUCCCUGAGGUGCUGGCGCCAGCCGCUGGCCCCAAACCAAAACUCUAGUAACUUUUACCUUCUGAGUUUUAAUGCAAGAAAUAAGUC
This 240-nucleotide unclassified non-coding RNA is filed under the name soil metagenome. RNAcentral describes it as "partial contains 5.8S ribosomal RNA, internal transcribed spacer 2, and large subunit ribosomal RNA". The record is from RNAcentral.